This 2063-nucleotide long non-coding RNA is filed under the name Homo sapiens (human). Its description in RNAcentral is "HSALNT0011692". The record is from RNAcentral. Lineage: Eukaryota; Metazoa; Chordata; Mammalia; Primates; Hominidae.
GGAAAACCAACAGGACCCUAGAAUGACGUUUUGAAAGAAAAAGAAAUAAAUGAAAAAUAAAUUUUUAUAAAAUUAUGACAUUCUGGAGGUGAAGAGGUUAAAGUCAUGACAAAACCUGCUGAGAAUAUUUCUCUUCUCCCGCCAAAAAAUUUCUAAAGAAUUAAUUCAAUUGAGAAUGCUUACGAAUAUAUGAAAUGAUGAAAAGUCAGAUUUACCAUCUAUGUUCCAGAGUCUCAGGAUUUCAAAUCUUUCUAAGAAAAGCUCCAAGUCUAUUUUUACUCAGUUCUGGCCUGCCAGAAUUAAAGCAGAUAUUAAAUAAUGAAGAAAAUGAAGACCAGAGACAUGAAGGAAACAUAGACUUCUUCAUUGUGAAAAGUUGGCCAGAAGGAAAAAUAUCAUCAAAGCCAUGGAUCCAUUAAUGAUAUUGAUUAUACCUGAGCUCCAGGAAGACCUCUUUCCCCUGGGAAACCACGUAAUCCUGCUGGUCCAUCUUUCCCUGAGAUACCUUGAGGACCUGGAUCACCCUAAAGAAUAUAAUAAACAUCGUCAAGACAGAUUAAUUUCUACACAUCUUUCUACAAACAAAAUUGUGAUUACCUCUAAACUACUCACCAGGAAGACCUUGCUCACCAGGAGGGCCAGGAGGGCCAGGAUGCCCACGUUCCCCUAUUGGACCAGUCUCACCGGUUGGUCCCUAAAUUAGAUAAGCAAAAUCACUUUAGAUUGCUCUUUUAUUUUUGGCAAAGAUAACACAAACUCAAAAACAGUAUUAUUACAUUUACAAAAGUUUAUCAUCCUCACUUAUUCUCAUGAUGUCCUACAAAACACUUCACAUAAAGCACUGAAAGUAGCAUAUCAAGUAAGAGUCUAAAAAGAUUUUAUAUAAUCUUGGUUAGAAUCUGAGUGUAAAAGGAAAGUACAUAAAUAAAGUCCAAAAAGAUGUUUUCUUUGCUUAAUACAAUAAUUUCUGCAGAGUGUGGCCAGUCCAAGUAUUAUGAAAACUAUGAUUUUUAAUUACAGUUUUAUCCCAUUCCUUCUUUUCAUAUGAGGUGUCAAAUCAGCUUAGUAGUAAAGAGGCAUAGAAACCACAUUGGUAGCCACUCAAUGAAUCACUGCUUGAAAAUAAACUUAGGGCCAUGAGAACCCAAAAAGCCAGUGGUUCUCCCUGGAAUUUCCAUGGACUGAAAAUUUCUCUACUAUUAAUCUAUAUUCAUUUGACAAAGUCUAGGGAAUGUGGCAUGGGAUCCUGAAGGCAGUGAGUAUGGGUCAGCAGUUCCUCUCGGCCAAAGGCUGUAACAAAUGGUCAGCUGCCUUAAAUUGCAGCAAAUGCCAAAGUGAACAAUAUCAGGUCAUUUACGUGUCCCCUGAGUGGUGCUGUUUUGUGGUGCUUGAGUAUAGCAGGCUUUCAUGUAUAAAUAGAGGAUGGUGAUCAGUUGCUCUCUAUCUUAAUAAAAAGCAAAAUGAAGGGUUUAAGUUAAACAAAGAGAAAAUUUUUAGAUGCUAAGGUUGUUAAACAGGAGAAUGUGUUCCUGCACUUGCUUAUGAAGUAUAAAUAUUUUUUUCCUAAAAAUGCAACAUAGUCUUAACUAUUUAUCUUGGAUAAGGUAUACACCUGUCCCAAUUUGGGUAUACAUUUCUAGGUUUAAAUUUCUUUAAUUAUACAAUUGCUGUAAUUUCUCAACUUAACAUUAAUGUGUAAACAUUUAUCCAAAACAUGAUGUUUUCUUAACUAUCUGAACACCAGAAUUUGAACAGUAAGGAAUACAGAAUUAACCAUAAUUGAACAGCGAUCACCGAGACAAAAAUGAUCAGAGAUUCACAUAACUGUUUAAAGAAAAGGGUGCAUAUUCAGUAUUGCAAUCUAUAUUAUUCCCAUUAAACCAAAUCUUUUGUCUUCACAUGAAAGUAUGGCUACAUUUAAAAUAGGCUGUUGGUUUUUUUUCUCUUAAAAAGGACCAAUAAAAAAUGUAAUUCAAGGAAGGUGCAUCUUCAGUAAAACACCAGUAUUUUUAUGCCUUCAUGUAAAGAGGGGAACGAAAAAAGAACACAAGUCUCAGAAGUUU